GUCUACAGCCAUACCACCCUGAACAUGGCUGAUCUCAUCUGAUCUCAGAAGCUAAGCAGAGUUGGGCCUGGGUAGUACUUGGAUGGGAGACUACCUGGGAAUACUGGGUGCUGUAGGCU
RNAcentral lists this ribosomal RNA (119 nucleotides) under Microcebus murinus (gray mouse lemur). Lineage: Eukaryota; Metazoa; Chordata; Mammalia; Primates; Cheirogaleidae. The record is from RNAcentral.